CUGGCGGCAGGCCUAACACAUGCAAGUCGAACGGUAGCACAGAGAGCUUGCUCUCGGGUGACGAGUGGCGGACGGGUGAGUAAUGUCUGGGAAACUGCCUGAUGGAGGGGGAUAACUACUGGAAACGGUAGCUAAUACCGCAUAACGUCUUCGGACCAAAGUGGGGGACCUUCGGGCCUCACACCAUCGGAUGUGCCCAGAUGGGAUUANCUAGUAGGUGGGGUAAUGGCUCACCUAGGCGACGAUCCCUAGCUGGUCUGAGAGGAUGACCAGCCACACUGGAACUGAGACACGGUCCAGACUCCUACGGGAGGCAGCAGUGGGGAAUAUUGCACAAUGGGCGCAAGCCUGAUGCAGCCAUGCCGCGUGUAUGAAGAAGGCCUUCGGGUUGUAAAGUACUUUCAGCGGGGAGGAAGGCGAUAAGGUUAAUAACCUUGUCGAUUGACGUUACCCGCAGAAGAAGCACCGGCUAACUCCGUGCCAGCAGCCGCGGUAAUACGGAGGGUGCAAGCGUUAAUCGGAAUUACUGGGCGUAAAGCGCACGCAGGCGGUCUGUCAAGUCAGAUGUGA
Molecule: ribosomal RNA, 570 nt
Filed under: Erwinia billingiae
Lineage: Bacteria; Pseudomonadati; Pseudomonadota; Gammaproteobacteria; Enterobacterales; Erwiniaceae
Description: bacterial SSU rRNA
Rfam family: Bacterial small subunit ribosomal RNA
Source: RNAcentral